ACAAAGCUCCGCCCCUUAAUGACAUCACCUGAGACCAACCAGGAAACAGGUUGUUCCUGUUCAGUUCUCACUGAGGACAGACACACAGACGGACAGACAGACGGUGCUCCACGGGACCCUUUACCUGAAAAGACCCCAAGUCGUCCAGGCAACCUACCACCACCAUCUUUUCCUACCACAGGCUCCCGCAAAGGCUCACUGGGUCGAUGUUUAUGAAUGAGUACAUACUCAUUAGCCAAUGCUGCAGCCUCAGCAACAGUUGUAACCUUACAUUUAGUAAUGUAUGUGGCAACCCGACUGGGCAGAGAGUUUUUAAGGACCAAGUUACACAAACUCUCAAAAUUGUCAACAUCUGAAGCCAUACACCAACGAUUGCAGUGAUUAGUCAGCUCCCUUGAAAACUCCAUAUGAGUCUGACCCUUUUUUCCCACAUCCUAAAUCGCUGACGAUAUGCUUCUGGAACUAACUCAUACGCCUUCAGUACAGCAGCCUUGACUGGUUGAUAAGUUAGAUUAUUGCAACUUAACGACGAAUCGGUCCACACACUGCAAUAACAAAACCUGCUCUGAGUCUGACCAAGUCCUUGCUUCUGCAAUCCGCUCAGAGAGAAAAACACAUCUGGAUCCCGCUCAUUAAAUUUAGGCAAGAAAUGCAAAUUACUAACAACAUCUGGAGACCCUGACCACAAAGAUGAACUUUCAUCCCGUCGCAACACAUCCCCAGAAAGCUUACCAUCUCUGACUAGUCCCAGUUUAGCAGUUUGCAAUGCUAUCUUUUCCUGCUCUCUCCUGCUGCAAAGACUCAAUCGCCACUUGCUUUUCCGCCUCCAACUUAUGCUUUUCUAUCCGAAUCCAUUGCCUUUCUUGUUCUUCUCUGUUUUCUCUUUAUCAUGAGAUAACUGCAAUAAAAGCAAUUAUUUCCUCUGCUCAAAGGUUAAGUUUCCUGAUGAGACUAAAAGUGACUGUGCAGCUAACGAUGGAACAGGCCCCUCUAGCUCAGCCACCAGCACCCCUUUCUCAACUUACUGCAGUUUUACCAAAUGCUUUACAUUCUCAGUCUAUCACCAAUCCCACUUAGAUCAAUGUCAUAUUCUUCUAAAUAUACAGGACCCCAGCAGAAGAAAACACAAGUACUAACAGAAAUCAUUGCAUAAGUCAACUAGUGCACAAACAACACUAAUGGUGUCCCCAAAACUAAUGUGGAAGUCCCACUCUACCUAAACUGUCUAUCCACAAACUAAGCUACCUCACUGAACCCUAGUCUUGAGAUUAGGCUAUAAUGGGCUAUUUAAACACUUAAACCAAUAGCCCGGUGAGGCACCCAGCAAGCUGGUUAUUCACCUGAAAGCUAUGGAUGUUUCCCUGAGACAACUGCUCUAACCACCCACCACACAGAAAAUAACAAACUUAAAAAAUAAAUCAACAAGCCCAAAUGGACCAAAACAUACCAUACUAGAGGACCAAACAAUUAGCUCCUGCCUUCCUAUUCAUGUCAACAACUCAUGGGACCAAACUUUUGUUUGAGUAUUAUAGAAUUUCACGCACUGCAGUGCUCCCUUUUGGUUACUUCAGCAGCAACAGUUGCAGAGCAGGGUAUUUCUCUUUGUGCAACUAGACAAGAUAGAGAGCACAUGGGCUUAUCUCUCCUGCCGCAGUUAUCUUUGGCAUUGUUGCCUUGGACAUUAUUUGUCCAUUAGUAUUAUUGAGUUAUAAGUUUUCAAUGUUAUUUAUAUCAUAUAUUUGCUCUGUCUACAUUUUAUUUCUAAUUCGGAUUGCUUCAUUGGUUGCUAGCAUAGCUGUAGUAGUAGUUAGUCCACUGUGAAGCAGUUUUUAUGUUAUGUACAGUGUUAUGUAAUAAUGUAAUAGUAUUGCUUAAAUAUUGAUUUAUGUUUGUAUUUUGUGAGACAAUUAAAGAUAGAACUGAAACUGA
Dicentrarchus labrax (European seabass) is the source of this 1929-nucleotide long non-coding RNA. RefSeq lists it as uncharacterized. Lineage: Eukaryota; Metazoa; Chordata; Actinopteri; Moronidae. The transcript has 2 exons. The record is from RefSeq and is a predicted model, not a curated record.